GAUGAACGCUGGCGGCGUGCCUAAUACAUGCAAGUCGAGCGAACAGACGAGGAGCUUGCUCCUCUGACGUUAGCGGCGGACGGGUGAGUAACACGUGGAUAACCUACCUAUAAGACUGGGAUAACUUCGGGAAACCGGAGCUAAUACCGGAUAAUAUAUUGAACCGCAUGGUUCAAUAGUGAAAGACGGUUUUGCUGUCACUUAUAGAUGGAUCCGCGCCGCAUUAGCUAGUUGGUAAGGUAACGGCUUACCAAGGCAACGAUGCGUAGCCGACCUGAGAGGGUGAUAGGCCACACUGGAACGGAGACAGGGUCCAGACUCCUACGGGAGGCAGCAGUAGGGAAUCUUCCGCAAUGGGCGAAAGCCUGACGGAGCAACGCCGCGUGAGUGAUGAAGGUCUUCGGAUCGUAAAACUCUGUUAUUAGGGAAGAACAAAUGUGUAAGUAACUAUGCACGUCUUGACGGUACCUAAUCAGAAAGCCACGGCUAACUACGUG
Molecule: ribosomal RNA, 497 nt
Filed under: uncultured bacterium
Lineage: Bacteria
Description: partial 16S ribosomal RNA
Rfam family: Bacterial small subunit ribosomal RNA
Source: RNAcentral